AUUGAACGCUGGCGGCAGGCCUAACACAUGCAAGUCGAGCGGAUGAAGGGAGCUUGCUCCUGGAUUCAGCGGCGGACGGGUGAGUAAUGCCUAGGAAUCUGCCUGGUAGUGGGGGAUAACGUCCGGAAACGGGCGCUAAUACCGCAUACGUCCUGAGGGAGAAAGUGGGGGAUCUUCGGACCUCACGCUAUCAGAUGAGCCUAGGUCGGAUUAGCUAGUUGGUGGGGUAAAGGCCUACCAAGGCGACGGUCCGUAACUGGUCUGAGAGGAUGAUCAGUCACACUGGAACUGAGACACGGUCCAGACUCCUACGGGAGGCAGCAGUGGGGAAUAUUGGACAAUGGGCGAAAGCCUGAUCCAGCCAGGCCGCGUGUGUGAAGAAGGUCUUCGGAUUGUAAAGCACUUUAAGUUGGGAGGAAGGGCAGUAAGUUAAUACCUUGCUGUUUUGACGUUACCAACAGAAUAAGCACCGGCUAACUUCGUG
This 484-nucleotide ribosomal RNA is filed under the name uncultured bacterium. RNAcentral's name for it is "partial 16S ribosomal RNA". It matches the Rfam family "Bacterial small subunit ribosomal RNA", at positions 30 to 507 of the family's 1533-position model. The record is from RNAcentral.